CUCGGGAACCGUGAGAUCACGAACUGAGCCAAAAUCAAGAGUCGACACUGAACCGACUGAGCCGCCCAGACGCCCGGUCCCUUGGAAGCAUUUGAACGAACAAUCACAUCUUUGAGUUGGUCAAACGUCUCAGCUUCUGGAAAGGUGUCUGAAACUCUGCCCAUGGACUCCUGCAAAUCAUCUCUGCCACCUCCUUGAUGAGCUCUGCUCUGAAUCAGCGUUCAGGACCCCCAGAGCGGGACCCCCAAAGUCUGGGGGACCAAGUAGGUGUGACAGGUGCCGACGAAGGAUGAUGUGAUCAGAUGAGGUCCAGCGGUGGCCCGGAGAAGUGGCCCAGGUGUGUUCCUUGAGGAGGGGACAGGGUUUCAGCUUCAGCAAAUGGAACAGAAGCGACCUGGGGCGUGGAUAGAAGCCGAGAGUCAUCUGUGUGUGUUUGUCCAGCUGCUUCUCCGCCGUGAGGGCGUGACAGCAGGACCUGUCCGCGGGAAUGCCAGCAGCAUUCAUCACAGACCAGGAAAUCAUUCAAGACCUCGACUCGCCUGACAGGGUGUUGCGGGUGAACUGCGGGAGCCAAGCCUACCGAGACUUUCGUCCUGAUUACGACUGUUUGAGGGUGUUUAUCAGACACAGACAAGGACAAAGUGGGUGUUGCUCUCCAGGCGAGACGCUCGUGGCAUCUCAAACUGCGUGAUUGUUUUGAAGGCAGAAGCAGGCUUCAGAGGUUUCCUUGGUGAUGUUUCCAAAGUCUGUGCUUGCAACCAGGAUAUCCUGGUGGUGAGCCUGCCUCAGUUUACCUUCCUGACCCCCCGGCAUGAAUUUCACAGCCUUCAAGCACCCGCACCAACCUUCCUUUCUUGGGGGACUGGUUUCUGCUUGGUGCAAUCUGAAGACUUCCCAGCGCCUCCUUUCCUAGGUCUGAAAUGAAGGAGACAGGCUUCCUCAGCCUCUCUGCUGUGUUGGGGGACAGCCCAUCCUGGGUGUGAGACCUGCUCUCCGGGAGAACAGCACUUCCCUGUGUGUGGUUAAAGAGGCCGGGCUCAGGGGACAGCCCACAACAUCUCCAUGGGGAAGCUGAAAACAAAAACAGCGGAAGGGAAGCCGGGGGGCGGAGAGCUGAGCCAGAGGGGGGCCCAGCGGGGACACAUCUGGGGUGUGACUUGGGUCACUUUGCUGCCUGACCUGUGAGUGGAGCUCACAAGCCCAAGCCUGCACCGCCCGCCUGUGUGGCUCCGACCCCCUAGAGGAGGAAGCUGGUCCUAUAGCAAUACCUCUGGCAUCCUUGUCCC
Long non-coding RNA from Leopardus geoffroyi (Geoffroy's cat), 1286 nucleotides. RefSeq lists it as uncharacterized. The transcript is spliced from 3 exons. The record is from RefSeq and is a predicted model, not a curated record. Lineage: Eukaryota; Metazoa; Chordata; Mammalia; Carnivora; Felidae.